This 404-nucleotide ribosomal RNA is filed under the name uncultured bacterium. Its description in RNAcentral is "bacterial SSU rRNA". It matches the Rfam family "Bacterial small subunit ribosomal RNA", at positions 355 to 776 of the family's 1533-position model. The record is from RNAcentral.
UGGGGAAUUUUGCGCAAUGGGCGAAAGCCUGACGCAGCAACGCCGCGUGCGGGAUGAAGGCCUUCGGGUCGUAAACCGCUUUCAGCAGGGACGAAAUUGACUGUACCUGCAGAAGAAGCCCCGGCUAAAUACGUGCCAGCAGCCGCGGUAAUACGUAUGGGGCAAGCGUUAUCCGGAUUCAUUGGGCGUAAAGCGCGCGUAGGCGGAUCGUUAAGUCAGAUGUGAAAUCCGGGGGCUCAACCCGCGGCCUGCAUCUGAAACUGGCGGUCUUGAGUCUGGUAGAGGAAAGUGGAAUUCCCAGUGUAGCGGUGAAAUGCGCAGAUAUUGGGAGGAACACCAGUGGCGAAGGCGGCUUUCUGGGCCACGACUGACGCUGAGGCGCGAAAGCUAGGGGAGCAAACAGG